Molecule: long non-coding RNA, 939 nt
Organism: Fukomys damarensis (Damara mole-rat)
Lineage: Eukaryota; Metazoa; Chordata; Mammalia; Rodentia; Bathyergidae
Exons: 8
Source: RefSeq, a predicted model, not a curated record
GAAGAAGGUUGUACCAUGGUAGGAGAAGACAAAUUUAAUGUGGAGGCUGCUAUUCCAUUUGGCAGCCAUCUUAAGGUUCAGAGUAUUAUGGGAAGGAGGCUACUGUUGUAUGUAGCAGCCAUCUUGAGUCAAGGGAAAUGUAACUAUGAUUCUAUGAUGUCUCAAAGUAAUAGGCUUAUUUAAAAUAAAAUUGAAUUGUGAAACUGUGUUGGGGCACGAGGAAGACACAAUAUUCAUCCACUCCUGUGACCAAAAUAACAACAACUCCACAUUUCUCCUCCACUAUGUUCCUGGCAACCACCAUCUACUCUGCUUUCUGAGUUGAGCAAGGAUGGGAUACCUGCACAGGGGCUGUCACGGACCUUCACCUUCCACCUUCCUUCCACUGGAUGCAGCUAGAUGAGAAGAUUUUGGAUAGCAGUCCAUGUCUGUAUUAUGACAAAGUAUUGACUUUUCAGUUACUCACCAAUUUUUCAUGUGCAUGCAGCGGCAGUGAUUCUCAAGAGAGAGAAAAACUUAGCUGGUGUACUGCUGUGCUCAUCCCAGCCUGACUCUGGGCUACCAGAAGGAUGACUCCCCACCCUAAAACAUAAUCAUGUGAUACUUGAGCAGCUGGAAAAAAACAUGAGCAUGUACUUAUCCUAGACAAGUCUUAUAAUUUAUAAACCAAAAGCUAUCAUAAGAUAUAAGAUGGGGAUAUAAGAUGGAUUGGUAAUUCAAGUGAUUUAAACAAGUUCUUCAAAAUGGAACCAGUGCCUUCAUUAUCCUCAGCCUCUCAUGAUGUUGCACCUUCACAAGAUAACUGAGAAGACUGGCAAUGCUCUCAAGAGGCUAGGAUGAAGAAGACCAAAUGUUCUGUCAUGAAGAGCUUCAAGAUGUUACAUCCUACAAGAAGAAAAAUAUGGCUAAACUGAAAAUCAAGGACUUGUCUUGGACGUG